RNAcentral lists this ribosomal RNA (153 nucleotides) under Colletotrichum truncatum. Its description in RNAcentral is "5.8S ribosomal RNA". It matches the Rfam family "5.8S ribosomal RNA". From Rfam's summary of the family: 5.8S ribosomal RNA (5.8S rRNA) is a component of the large subunit of the eukaryotic ribosome. It is transcribed by RNA polymerase I as part of the 45S precursor that also contains 18S and 28S rRNA. Lineage: Eukaryota; Fungi; Ascomycota; Sordariomycetes; Glomerellales; Glomerellaceae. The record is from RNAcentral.
AAACUUUUAACAACGGAUCUCUUGGUUCUGGCAUCGAUGAAGAACGCAGCGAAAUGCGAUAAGUAAUGUGAAUUGCAGAAUUCAGUGAAUCAUCGAAUUUUGAACGCACAUUGCGCCCGCCAGCAUUCUGGCGGGCAUGCCUGUUCGAGCGUC